Molecule: long non-coding RNA, 942 nt
Organism: Bombina bombina (fire-bellied toad)
Lineage: Eukaryota; Metazoa; Chordata; Amphibia; Anura; Bombinatoridae
Exons: 2
Source: RefSeq, a predicted model, not a curated record
AUGUUAAUUUCGGUUGUCAACUCCACUUUUACCCGUCUGUAUCUGCCAUUAAAUAGAACUGAAUUCUCUAUGUAGUUACCAACUAUUGUCUUAAUUAUAAAAUAAAUAUCUACUAUGACCUAUGACUGCAAAAAAUAAUCUUCUAGCUCCUGUUUUGUGUUAUUAAGCAAUGCUAUGGCAACCCACAUGGCUAUAAUUAUUCAAUAAAGAAAGAAUGACCUUUGUAUUCUGAAAGGAGGAAAACCCAUAAAAUUAAAGAGAACGUGAUAUUUGAAGAUAUCCCAAAACACACAAAAUGCAUAUAUCUGGUUACUUAACAUGCACAUGUUACUAAUUUGUCAUGUACACACAAAAGGUGUGAUUUAUGGCUGUGUCAUGAUGAACAUUAUAGAUAUGCAAAUGAUCUGGUAAAUCUGUGACCUACUGUGUUUCAGAAAGAUUUGGGCAUCCGUGGAAUUUCAGAGGCAAUAUGGCAGGUCAAAUGUAGCACAGUACACAAGGGAUGCUGGACAGCAUUGCCAAAAGUCAGCAUUCCAUUUCAAUGUGUUGUACAUUCUGUGAAAAGUGAAAUCAUAUUUGGAGAGGAAAAACAGCUGAUAAAACACAGACAGACAUGGACUUGAAUAUUAUAGAGGCAGUAUGGGGUCACCUGGACAGAGAAAGAAAUAAAAGACAACCUAAAUCUAAAGAAGAACUUUGUGAAGUGUUGAAAGAAGCCUUGUAUAAUAUACCAGAAGACUUCAGGACAUUCUCCCCAAAAGAGUUUAAGAUGUGCUUAGUGCCAAGGGAAGUGACAAUGAAUACUGACUUUUGCCUGAAGAAGCUUUUUUUUCUGAAAAUUGUUUUUUCCUUAUAUUUUGUGUUUCCUGUAUUUUCUGUUUGUAUCUUUAUAAAAAGACCAAAAUAUAAAUAUAGAUGGUCAUUAAAACUAUGCUAAAACAA